AACGCGAAGAACCUUACCUACCCUUGACAUGGUCGGAACCCUGCUGAAAGGUGGGGGUGCUCGAAAGAGAACCGGCGCACAGGUGCUGCAUGGCUGUCGUCAGCUCGUGUCGUGAGAUGUUGGGUUAAGUCCCGCAACGAGCGCAACCCUUGUCCUUAGUUGCUACGCAAGAGCACUCUAGGGAGACUGCCGGUGACAAACCGGAGGAAGGUGGGGAUGACGUCAAGUCCUCAUGGCCCUUAUGGGUAGGGCUUCACACGUCACACAAUGGUCGGAACAGAGGGUUGCCAAGCCGCGAGGCGGAGCCAAUCCCAGAAAACCGAUCGUAGUCCGGAUCGCAGUCUGCAACUCGACUGCGUGAAGCUGGAAUCGCUAGUAAUCGCGGAUCAGCAUGCCGCGGUGAAUACGUUCCC
RNAcentral lists this ribosomal RNA (413 nucleotides) under uncultured bacterium. RNAcentral's name for it is "bacterial SSU rRNA". It matches the Rfam family "Bacterial small subunit ribosomal RNA", at positions 958 to 1375 of the family's 1533-position model. The record is from RNAcentral.